This 804-nucleotide ribosomal RNA is filed under the name uncultured bacterium. RNAcentral's name for it is "bacterial SSU rRNA". It matches the Rfam family "Bacterial small subunit ribosomal RNA", at positions 8 to 812 of the family's 1533-position model. The record is from RNAcentral.
AGAGUCCCUUCCUGGCUCAGGAUGAACGCUGGCGGCGUGCUUAACACAUGCAAGUCGAACGGGAAACUUUUCAUUGAAGCUUCGGCAGAUUUGGUCUGUUUCUAGUGGCGGACGGGUGAGUAACGCGUGGGUAACCUGCCUUAUACAGGGGGAUAACAACCAGAAAUGGUUGCUAAUACCGCAUAAGCGCACAGGACCGCAUGGUCCGGUGUGAAAAACUCCGGUGGUAUAAGAUGGACCCGCGUUGGAUUAGCUAGUUGGCAGGGUAACGGCCUACCAAGGCGACGAUCCAUAGCCGGCCUGAGAGGGUGAACGGCCACAUUGGGACUGAGACACGGCCCAGACUCCUACGGGAGGCAGCAGUGGGGAAUAUUGCACAAUGGGGGAAACCCUGAUGCAGCGACGCCGCGUGAAGGAAGAAGUAUCUCGGUAUGUAAACUUCUAUCAGCAGGGAAGAUAGUGACGGUACCUGACUAAGAAGCCCCGGCUAACUACGUGCCAGCAGCCGCGGUAAUACGUAGGGGGCAAGCGUUAUCCGGAUUUACUGGGUGUGAAGGGAGCGUAGACGGACUGGCAAGUCUGAUGUGAAAGGCGGGGGCUCAACCCCUGGACUGCAUUGGAAACUGUUAGUCUUGAGUGCCGGAGAGGUAAGCGGAAUUCCUAGUGUAGCGGUGAAAUGCGUAGAUAUUAGGAGGAACACCAGUGGCGAAGGCGGCUUACUGGACGGUAACUGACGUUGAGGCUCGAAAGCGUGGGGAGCAAACAGAGAUUAGAUACCCUGGUAGUCCACGCCGUAAACGAUGA